Molecule: long non-coding RNA, 2529 nt
Organism: Symphalangus syndactylus (siamang)
Lineage: Eukaryota; Metazoa; Chordata; Mammalia; Primates; Hylobatidae
Source: RefSeq, a predicted model, not a curated record
GACCGCGGAGCCGGCCUCUCCAGCCACCUGGUGGCCGGGCCGCGUCAGCCAGGUGCGCGCCCGGCCCCACAUCCUCUGGGUCAGGCCCCCGAGCCCGCAAAGCGUCCGAGAAGCAGCCCCGGCUCUGACCCGCCAGCCCUCAGAAGAAGCAGACCCUGGCCGGUGCAUGGCAGUGGCCCGAGGGGCGCCAGCGCGGAGCACCAGCGACCUCCCAGGAACGACGUUGCAGAUGAUGCUCUAUCAGGAGUUGGAAGGACUUCCCAGGGAAUCCCACAAGACACUGCGCUUCCUAUGCCUCCUUUCCCUUGUUUAAAUAAUGGGGAUAAGAAGAUUGGCUACUGCUCCGACAGCCCUCGUAAUGGAAGAGUAGCACUUCAUUUGUGGGUUAACAAAGGGUAACGCUGAAAUCUCCACUUCCACUAUUGAAUGGAACUGUGUCAUAAUAUCUGUUAGAGGCGUGCAAGCUCGGCCACAAGGUCAUGGUCAUACGUUAUUGUUGGUCAAAAGCCGCAGCCCUACCUGAGGCUUUGAGAGAUAUGAACACCAAUGACUUUUCUUUUCCUGACUCCCGAAAUACCAAGAAAAAGCAACUUCCCCAAAUGGACAGAAACAGAAAGUACCCUUGGUUGAACACAGAGGCCUGGUUCCAGCCACCGUUAGAAGUGGGAAGGAACUCAGACCCGCUCUCCUGCCUCAUCCCCAAUCCCUACCCCACACGUCACCCUUUCACAGAGAAGGAACCAGAGCCACCAAGGGCUGAGAGAGGACUUGAUAAGGAUUCUAGUCUUCUGUCUCCCCUGUCCCCACCUUUUCCACCACAAAAAUAUGGAUAUUUGGAGGAAGAGGAGAAGAGGGAAGGUACACACCAUGCAAAGGAAGAAAAUGGCAGAACUGCUCUGGAAUCAGGAAUUCAGGAGCAAGAAUGACACAGUGUGUGCCAGAUGGAAAUGCUGGAUUAGGAGAGCACUUGGAAAGGCAAAUAAUCUGCCAGAGAAAUUAUGGGAUGCCCGCCUUCUGAAAAUGGAGGAAAACUGCAAAGGAGUGGCUCAUUGGUGCUCAUUCCUAGGGCUCUGAGCAUCCCAAGAAGCCAACUUGGUCCCAUCGUACAUCCCCUCAGAAGUAGGCAUUCUCCUCUCCACCUGCAGCUGUGACCCAAAUAUGGAGCCUGCAUGUUAUGCCACCCCAUCAACACUGAGUUCUGUCUGUGUCUCCCUCUCCCAGAUCUGAUCAGCACCUGACAUCUAUCCAUCCUCCACUUCCCACCUCCCCAAAGCUGCUGGAAAAACUCUGAAAGGUACCUCUGUCACUCAUUAAGCAUCUGAUUAUGUACCUCUUUCUACAACUCCUUUGUUGCUUUGUUUUAAAAUCGAUGGCUCUUUGAAAUCACUCUUCUUCCUUUCACUGCCUAAUGUUUUCAAAGAGGAGUCUACCCCUGUCUCCGCUUCCUCAUCUUACAUUAAUUCCUCAAUUCUCUGAACAGAGACCACCAGGGAAACCCCAAAUGUCAGCUCCAGUGGUUUCAUUUUCUUACCUCACUAUAGCAUUUAGCACCACUCCUUCUUGAAAAUCCCCUCCUUGGCUUCUCCUCCACGUCUCACCAUGAUUUCUGUUUUCUUCUUCUGGCUUCAUUUCUGCAUCAUCCCUUAAACAAUACAAUGCUUGAGGUUUCAGAUGAGGCUGCUUCUCCCUGGGCAAUCUCAUCCAUUCCUAUCAUACUGAUCCCUCCCAAACUAUCGCCCAGACUUCUCUCUUGAGCUCCAGAUCUGUAAUUCCAAGUGUUUUCUGUACAUCCAUAUCUAGAUAAUCAAUCCAAAAGCCUUUUAAUUACUCCAUGCCCUAAAAUAAAUUCCUCAUCUUCUCACAAACUCUUUCUCCUGCCUUCCCUAUCUCAGUUGACAUCAUUACUAUCCACCAGUGGAUAGUAAGGUUUCUAGUAACUUAUAGCCAGAAUAUAUAAAGAACUCCCACAACUCAAAAGUAGUAAAGACAAAUAAUCCAAUUUGAAAAUGGGCAAAAGACUUGAACAGACACUUCAACAAAACAAGAUAUGCGCAUGGCCAAUAAUCACAUGAAAAGGUGCUAACAUUAUGAGUCUUUGGGGAAAUGCAAACUUAAGCCGUGAGUUACCACUUUACAGUCAUUAGAAUAGCUAAAAUUCAUACUGAAAACAGCAAAUGUUGGCAAGGAUGUGGAGGAACCGAAACACUCAUAUAUUGCUUGUAGGAGCGUAACAUGGCACAACAAGUUUGGGAAACUCAUUGGCAGUAUCUGAUAAAGUUAAAUAUACAUCUACCUGUGACCUAGAAAUUCCACUCCUAGGUAUAUAUCCAAGAUAAAUGAAUGUGUAUCUCCCCACAGAAACAUAUAUAUGAAUGAUUGUAGCAACUUUAUUCAUAAUAGCCCCAAACUGGAAACACCCCAAAUACCAUUAAUAGUAGAAUGAUUUUUUGUUAAAUUGUGGGAUAUUCAUACACUGGAGUGCUACUCAGCAGUAAAAAGGAAUAAAUGAGUGAUGCAUGUGUCAACAUA